CCGCCUGCAUAUGCAGAUAAAGGAAUAGCUACAGUGAGAAGAUAAGACCUGAGGAUGCAGUGUUGAAAAUCUUAGCCCUGAGACUAAAACAUCUGCGAUGAACAUUUUUGUGUGUGUGUGCGCGUGUGUGUAGAAGGGGAAUUAAUGAAGUAUUCUGUAUAACAUAAUUGUUCUGUGUGGAAUCAAUGUGAAUAUUUGUGACAUCAUGAGUUCAUGACAACUAAUUCUUGGUGGAGAAAAUGUGCACUCUUGUCAUGUUUGAGGUUACCACACCUUGUUCAGCAGAAACAGUGAUAUUGAAGACGCUCCUCCUAGUCCUUGAGCACUGCAACCUCUUGAUGGUAGCAAGGAAGUAUCUUCUGCUGACCCUUCUUUCCAUACGUGCUUCUUCCAUGGUGGUUUUGUAUUUUUAUCAUGCUCGUAAAGGUCUCCUGCCGAACUAUGAAGUAAAUUCUCCUGAGGGAUGGGCAAAUUUUGUCAGUCAUUCUGAAUUUCUGAUUAUGGAAGCUGUUAUGCUCAACACAGCUUGAGCAAUAAGAAAAUCCAACUACUCACUCCCCAUCUUUAGUAACAACUCCAGACUUUAUCAAACUUUGCUCUAUUUCUCCUCUUGUAUUGUGAUCAGCUGAAGCUUCAAGCUUUAUCCAAACCAGUUGCAAAUUUUCAACCAGUUGCAUCUGAAAAGAUGUUGCUGGCUCUGCAGAUGCAGGCAAAUCGUGGGGAGCAAUCACCCAUUGUACACCAUUCCAGAAUCUCUCAUAGAUUGACCCACUCUCACCGGUGAUCCAGACUGAUGCAUCAGACAUUUUUGUCAAAGAAACGCGAUUCCUCAAAGAACCUACAACGGUACAAUUACCAUUGAUACAAGUAACCAGAUCAUAAGGCAGUUCCACAGGCACCCAACUGUCUGUUUUCCCAUCAAACCGAA
Molecule: long non-coding RNA, 928 nt
Organism: Chenopodium quinoa (quinoa)
Lineage: Eukaryota; Viridiplantae; Streptophyta; Magnoliopsida; Caryophyllales; Amaranthaceae
Exons: 5
Source: RefSeq, a predicted model, not a curated record